CUGAGCGCCCCCCAGGCGCCCUCCCCGCCCCCCAGACCUUUUACUGGGUCACACCGGCAAAAUCCUUCUCUGUCCUAUAAGGUGACAUUCACGGAGUCGGGACGCGGCUCUCUUUGGGGGGCGGUAUUCAGCCUACCACGAAUGGCCACCAACCAUCCCUCGACUCUGUUUAUGCCCACGCCCCACGGAUCAAGAGGCAGCAUCCACUUGCGUUCCCCCGCGGCAAUCUUGUGACCGGCUUUGACCGACACAAUGUAGUCGAAAGUGACGCGAGCCACUGUGGUGGCUUCUACAGUGGCUCCCUUGCAACCUGGCCGCCGCCACGUCAGAGAGAGGUCGGUCUGGGCCACCCCGGGGAGGAGGGGGGCCGCUGGAAGAGAGACGGAGACCUUUGGAGACAGAGAGACGGGGAGAGACAGCAGCGCAGGGACACGAGGCCAAGGAAUCGUCAAGAAAGUCACGGGCUCCCGGCCGCAGGCCCGGCGAGGCUUUGAGCCACACGUGUCGGUUACCUCAGACGCCAGCCCCGCGGGGCCUGUAGAUAACUGGGACCCCAGCUGACACCCGGGCGCCGUCCGGGGACAGACCCCGAGCCAAGACCACCCAGGUCAAGCCACAGAGCCCACGAGAACUCACCCGUUGCUUCAAGCCAGUAAGUUUUGGGAGUGGCUUGUUACGCAGCAAGAGUCGAGCAGGGCAGGGGGCUUGGAGGCUCAGGGAACCACGGGUGAGGAGUAGGACACGGGGCAGUUGGGGCGGGGUCUUAGGCGGAAGGUCUUUUGGGGGGAAACAGGCUAGAACGUUCGGGAGAAACAGGCCAAGCACUCGGCGGGGGGGGCGUUUGGAAAGAUGAGGGCGAGGACGAGUGGGUGUCGAGUUCGGGUCCCGCCGGGGGCCUCGAUCUCAGAACAGCGGGCGUCACGGGUCCAGGACGCUCGGGCGUUAAUUUCGGGGUCGGUUUCAUCCCGCACCACCGUUCUGAUCAGAGUUUCCCGGCAGCCGCUGGGCAGGCUUCCUCCAAGGUUUCUGCCUUAGACGUUGCUCACGGUGCCUCGACAUCCGCUCUCCCACUUUUCCCCGAAACAUCCCCUGAGAUUUUAAGCAUGACGACUCCUUCCGGUUGGAAUG
RNAcentral lists this long non-coding RNA (1128 nucleotides) under Lynx pardinus (Iberian lynx). Lineage: Eukaryota; Metazoa; Chordata; Mammalia; Carnivora; Felidae. The record is from RNAcentral.